Stegodyphus dumicola is the source of this 718-nucleotide long non-coding RNA. Lineage: Eukaryota; Metazoa; Arthropoda; Arachnida; Araneae; Eresidae. The record is from RefSeq and is a predicted model, not a curated record.
CUUUACGUAAAAGCUGGAGCAAUUUUGGUCAAAAUUCUGCUAAAGUAGACGUGUUCGUGUUAUGCUUCCAACGAAGAUUAGUGCUGUGUAAGACGACUUCAGAAAUGGAAUGGCAGCUUGACACUCAGCUUUACCUACGUGAGCGCCUCUAUAUAAUUUGAGGAACACACUUACUUCUCUUUCACAACACUUUUGCGUACCCCAACACUCAUAUAGUAGACCAACAAAUAAAAGAAAACAAAUAAAAAAACUUAUCUGCGGAGUCACAGGCUGCAAGUGAACAGGAGGAGGAGAAAUGCCCUCAUAUUUAAAAAAUUAUCAAGAUGCCAAGGAGGACGGCUGCUGAGCGUAGUAGAAAAUGAGAAGAGUUCAUAGGUAGAUGAAUUUUCAAUAGAGUCCAGAAGUUACAGAUGAAUUUUCAAUAGAGUCCAGAAGUUACUUAUUGAUUUAGGAUGCACUAAGGAGGUUCUCGUUGAUUUCCAAUCCAAUAUUGGAGUUAGCCGUGGUUUCAGUUAAGUGAAGCAUUAUGUAGUAGCGACCCCGGAGCUAGCGAUGCCGGAGACUCUUGCAGGGCGGAAAAUAAUUCUUAAAGACGUGAAACAUCGAGGCAGAUGAAAACUCUAUUCAUGGAGGAGAGACUAAAAUUUCUUCUUAACGGCACCAGUACUAGGCAUCACCCUUCGUUGCAUUUUUCUAUUUUAAUUAUCUUUGAGUAACU